Molecule: ribosomal RNA, 497 nt
Filed under: uncultured bacterium
Lineage: Bacteria
Description: partial 16S ribosomal RNA
Rfam family: Bacterial small subunit ribosomal RNA
Source: RNAcentral
GAUGAACGCUGGCGGCGUGCCUAAUACAUGCAAGUCGAGCGAACGGACGAGAAGCUUGCUUCUCUGAUGUUAGCGGCGGACGGGUGAGUAACACGUGGAUAACCUACCUAUAAGACUGGGAUAACUUCGGGAAACCGGAGCUAAUACCGGAUGAUAUUUUGAACCGCAUGGUUCAAAAGUGAAAGACGGUCUUGCUGUCACUUAUAGAUGGAUCCGCGCUGCAUUAGCUAGUUGGUAAGGUAACGGCUUACCAAGGCAACGAUGCAUAGCCGACCUGAGGGGGUGAUCGGCCACACUGGAACUGAGACACGGUCCAGACUCCUACGGGAGGCAGCAGUAGGGAAUCUUCCGCAAUGGGCGAAAGCCUGACGGAGCAACGCCGCGUGAGUGAUGAAGGUCUUCGGAUCGUAAAACUCUGUUAUUAGGGAAGAACAGAUGUGUAAGUAACUGUGCACAUCUUGACGGUACCUAAUCAGAAAGCCACGGCUAACUACGUG